Molecule: non-coding RNA, 100 nt
Rfam family: Bacterial small signal recognition particle RNA
About the family: The signal recognition particle (SRP) is a universally conserved ribonucleoprotein involved in the co-translational targeting of proteins to membranes. Archaeal SRP consists of a 7S RNA and homologues of the eukaryotic SRP19 and SRP54 proteins. In most bacteria, the SRP consists of a 4.5S RNA and the Ffh protein (a homologue of the eukaryotic SRP54 protein).
Source: Rfam
ACCGGGGACCUCAUGAGAUAGGGCAGUCCGAACCAGGUCAGGACAGGAAUGUAGCAGCCUUAAGGAUGUCGUCUUAUGUCUUGAGAUAAUCUCCGGUAUU